Molecule: ribosomal RNA, 496 nt
Filed under: uncultured bacterium
Lineage: Bacteria
Description: partial 16S ribosomal RNA
Rfam family: Bacterial small subunit ribosomal RNA
Source: RNAcentral
GAUGAACGCUGGCGGCGUGCCUAAUACAUGCAAGUCGAGCGAACGGACGAGAAGCUUGCUUCUCUGAUGUUAGCGGCGGACGGGUGAGUAACACGUGGAUAACCUACCUAUAAGACUGGGAUAACUUCGGGAAACCGGAGCUAAUACCGGAUGAUAUUUUGAACCGCAUGGUUCAAAAGUGAAAGACGGUCUUGCUGUCACUUAUAGAUGGAUCCGCGCUGCAUUAGCUAGUUGGUAAGGUAACGGCUUACCAAGGCAACGAUGCAUAGACGACCUGAGAGGGUGAUCGGCCACACUGGAACUGAGACACGGUCCAGACUCCUACGGGAGGCAGCAGUAGGGAAUCUUCCGCAAUGGGCGAAAGCCUGACGGAGCAACGCCGCGUGAGUGAUGAAGGUCUUCGGAUCGUAAAACUCUGUUAUUAGGGAAGAACAUAUGUGUAAGUAACUGUGCACAUCUUGACGGUACCUAAUCAGAAAGCCACGGCUAACUACGU